GCACUGCUGAAGAGUUCCACAUUAGGACGAAAUGAUCAUCUAGUAC
RNAcentral lists this non-coding RNA (46 nucleotides) under Schistosoma margrebowiei. The record is from RNAcentral. Lineage: Eukaryota; Metazoa; Platyhelminthes; Trematoda; Strigeidida; Schistosomatidae.